RNAcentral lists this microRNA precursor (88 nucleotides) under Danaus plexippus plexippus. RNAcentral's name for it is "mir-3327 microRNA precursor family". It matches the Rfam family "mir-3327 microRNA precursor family". The record is from Rfam by way of RNAcentral. Lineage: Eukaryota; Metazoa; Arthropoda; Insecta; Lepidoptera; Nymphalidae.
UUAGGGUAAUGUAUAUACAACAGUAAUGUUAUGUACAGUAUAUAUGUAAUUCUAUAUGUAACAUUUUUGUUGUCUUAUAUUGCUCUCU